CCCGUACACAAAAAUGCACAUGCUGUGAGCUCGAUGAGUAGGGCGGGACACGUGGUAUCCUGUCUGAAUAUGGGGGGACCAUCCUCCAAGGCUAAAUACUCCUGACUGACCGAUAGUGAACCAGUACCGUGAGGGAAAGGCGAAAAGAACCCCGGCGAGGGGAGUGAAAAAGAACCUGAAACCGUGUACGUACAAGCAGUGGGAGCCUCUUUUAUGGGGUGACUGCGUACCUUUUGUAUAAUGGGUCAGCGACUUAUAUUCUGUAGCAAGGUUAACCGAAUAGGGGAGCCGAAGGGAAACCGAGUCUUAACUGGGCGUUAAGUUGCAGGGUAUAGACCCGAAACCCGGUGAUCUAGCCAUGGGCAGGUUGAAGGUUGGGUAACACUAACUGGAGGACCGAACCGACUAAUGUUGAAAAAUUAGCGGAUGACUUGUGGCUGGGGGUGAAAGGCCAAUCAAACCGGGAGAUAGCUGGUUCUCCCCGAAAGCUAUUUAGGUAGCGCCUCGUGAAUUCAUCUCCGGGGGUAGAGCACUGUUUCGGCAAGGGGGUCAUCCCGACUUACCAACCCGAUGCAAACUGCGAAUACCGGAGAAUGUUAUCACGGGAGACACACGGCGGGUGCUAACGUCCGUCGUGAAGAGGGAAACAACCCAGACCGCCAGCUAAGGUCCCAAAGUCAUGGUUAAGUGGGAAACGAUGUGGGAAGGCCCAGACAGCCAGGAUGUUGGCUUAGAAGCAGCCAUCAUUUAAAGAAAGCGUAAUAGCUCACUGGUCGAGUCGGCCUGCGCGGAAGAUGUAACGGGGCUAAACCAUGCACCGAAGCUGCGGCAGCGACGCUUAUGCGUUGUUGGGUAGGGGAGCGUUCUGUAAGCCUGU
This 877-nucleotide ribosomal RNA is filed under the name Escherichia coli. RNAcentral describes it as "partial 23S ribosomal RNA". It matches the Rfam family "Bacterial large subunit ribosomal RNA", at positions 372 to 1252 of the family's 2925-position model. Lineage: Bacteria; Pseudomonadati; Pseudomonadota; Gammaproteobacteria; Enterobacterales; Enterobacteriaceae. The record is from RNAcentral.